Long non-coding RNA from Pan troglodytes (chimpanzee), 792 nucleotides. RefSeq lists it as uncharacterized. The record is from RefSeq and is a predicted model, not a curated record. The transcript has 5 exons. NCBI's taxonomy places the organism in Eukaryota, Metazoa, Chordata, Mammalia, Primates, Hominidae.
GGGCUAAAGGCCUUUAGACUGUCCAGGGGCCAUGCCACCUAACGCUACAGUCACAACCACAGUCUAAAGGCAGUAACAUCUUCUAUUAUUCAUCAUUGCUGUUGUCAUCACUGUGACCAUUUACUGAGUGCCUAAUACAUCUAGAUGCUGUGCCAGAGACAGAGUUCAGCAAAUGGUACCAGUGACUGGUACCAAGAGACACAAGGAGUCUCACUAUGUUCCCAGCCUGGAGAGCAGUGGCCAGCCACAGCGUGAUCACUGCACACAACAGUUCUGAACUCCUGAGCUCCAGCGAUUCUUCUGCCUCAGCCUCCCAUGUAGCUGAGACUACAGAUAAAGAAACCAAGGCUCAAAAGUCAAGUCCAGUCAUAUCUUGCCCAAGGUGGCCAGCCUGCUCCCAGAAAGGAAGGUCCUCAUACAGGAGACAGGAGAGCAGAAAGGAGCUCAUCUGACGAUUGCAGCACGUACAAGAAUGUUCACUGCAAGAUCAGCAAGCACUGGAAGCAGCCAAAUCAGCAGGGGAGUGGACUUGCAAACAAUGACUUAACAACAGCACAACGAAAAUCAACACGACUGCCACACACAACGCAAACGAAGCUCACAAACACGAUGGCCAAUAAAAACACAGAUAAAACAUAUAUUAUGUGCUUUCAUUCAGAGAAGCUCUAAAACAGGCGAAACUAGUCUGUGGUAUUAAGGUCAGGACUGGGGUUACUUCUGGGGAGAAACGAGGGGAAGUGAUUGGAAAGGACAUGAGGAGAUUUCCUGGUUGCUGGCAACAAUGUAUUUCUU